UGUUGGUUGAGAGCUAUGGUAUUUUAUCAAUUUUAUUGUUGUGAUUAUACACAAAUACAUUUUGUUAUAAUUCAUAAACUUAGGAAUAUUUUCAAUAAUAAUUAACGUUACACUGCAGUAAAAUUGUAUGUAUAGAUGACCACGUUGAAAACUACUGAUACAUACUUGAAAAAAACCUCUUUAUCACGACCAUAACGAUUAGCACAUCCAAGCACACAGCAAGUUAGUGGUAUUUUACUUACACUACUUAUACUUUUGCAAAUAAAAAUCAAGACAUAAAGUUAAAAUAUAGUAACAUUUAAAACGCAUAUCCUCAUUUGUUUAUUGUUUUUUUUUUUAUUUAAAUGUUACCAUCAAAU
Non-coding RNA from Cinara cedri, 359 nucleotides. The record is from the annotation of a GenBank genome assembly. Lineage: Eukaryota; Metazoa; Arthropoda; Insecta; Hemiptera; Aphididae.